Molecule: long non-coding RNA, 1159 nt
Filed under: Numida meleagris (helmeted guineafowl)
Lineage: Eukaryota; Metazoa; Chordata; Aves; Galliformes; Numididae
Description: lncRNA (ENSNMEG00000016802.1)
Source: RNAcentral
AUGGCUCUGCCACAGAUAGGAGCUGGCUUGCACACCGGUGACUCAGAAGGCAAAGCAGGGUUGCAUCCAUCUUCCCUGCUCUGGCGUGCUGCGGUGCUGCCGUGUGCUGUUUUAGGAACUGGGACCGCUGCGUCGCUCCAGAGGAGACAGCACGAGGCCCAAACAGGAAGGGGGUUGCCAGAAGAAGCCCCAUGGAGACGCGGCAUCUGUUCCAUCUUUCUCUUUUUGCUCUUGUUUGAAUCCUUCAGCUGAAGCACUUGGGCAGUGAGAUGCAGAAUUCGGCUCGGUCUGUUCUAUUUUCUGCAAAGUCUCAACCUAACAUCACAUCCUGUGGCACUUCAGGCAGCGUGCAUGUUUUGUAGACUUUGCUUAACACCAGGCUGUAGUCAGAAAUUAUAGACAUUUUAAAGUAAUAUAGGUAGUAGAAAGGCAGUAUUUUAAUAUAUUAUUUAAUGCAUUAAAAAUACUUAGAAUUCCUUGAGAAACACAGCUGUCUGAGAUGCUGCAGUCGCGUUGGGCAGCAGCAAGCUCAUUUUUCCCUCAGUCUCUGGCCUCACCUUCUCAACAGCAGCCUGUUCCCUUCCCACUAUAUGUUUCUCCAUAUUGUUCCUUACUUCCCUUUUUAAAAUAAUAUCAGAAUUCUUAUCCUAGUCAUAUGCUUGUUAUAAACUUCAUUCUCCCUAGGAGAAGAUUGAGCUAAUAAUAUGACAAAACAAUAUUUGAUAAAUACCAAUUAGUAAGACCCAUCAGUGGGCACAGAAGGACAUAAAACAGCAGCCUGUGCUCCUUGCCCUCCAUUUUAUUUAUUUGGCUAUGUGUACAGCAGGUGUCCUCUCCUGUGCUAUUAAGAGGUUUGGCAUCCUCCAAACACAUUUGCAAGAGCCCUGGACGUUUCCACAGUUUAUGCUUACGCACUUUGGUGGGCUUUAUCCUGCUAGGAGAGGCUCCAGGAGAAGUUGGGGAAAAAAUAAGGAAGGUCCUCAGGAGUAGAGUAAAUGCACAGCUGUAUGUCAGCUACUCCCCAGCCUAUUAAUUCAGUCAUGCCAUGUCUAUACAAGAGAGUUACUUCAGUUUCCUUUGCAUUUGGAUUGUUCCACCGAGAUCUGUGAGCUUGUGCUAUGGCUGAGCAAGAAUGGUUUGAUUUUUUGGGGAAUAUUAA